RNAcentral lists this non-coding RNA (86 nucleotides) under Palpitomonas bilix. The record is from RNAcentral.
GGAAAGUUGGAAACAAGAAAAAAGGAUCCCCAUGUUCCCAACCUCCUCCUAUAUUCUCUUUUUCGAUUUUCGAAGUUGAAAAAACG